Non-coding RNA from Ciona intestinalis (vase tunicate), 1183 nucleotides. The record is from RefSeq and is a predicted model, not a curated record. NCBI's taxonomy places the organism in Eukaryota, Metazoa, Chordata, Ascidiacea, Phlebobranchia, Cionidae.
UCGUAUCCUUACGAAUCCCACAGACCGUUGUUAAUUGUUUAAAACACGAUCAGGAUAUUUGGUUAUAUGCUAAAGGCGUCCCAUCUUAUCCCGCAGAACUAUAUUCGUAACUAUAAAAAUGUAACUAUAACUUGAUGGCAUAUGUAAUAAAUGCUGCGUUCCAGGUUUCCUAUGUUAAUUGAUUUGUGUAUAUACCUAAGUUGCGUCACGCCACCGGACGACAUUACAUCACGUGUGGGUUGUACUAAAUUCCUCGAAGGCGUGUUAGACAGUUCGUGUGUAAUGCUAUAACUAGCAGAUUGCAGUUACAAAGAGGAAGUCAUAUGCGUUAUAUAAUUGUGUGUAUUACUUAGUCUGUGUGUAUUACUAUACUACUAUGUGUUUUGCGCUACUUUAUAGUUGGCUGGUAAUCGCUAUGUAUAAUGUCAUUAUUAGAUAUUAGGGUACAGGGAUAAACCGGAACAGUUAGUUGCACAAAAUUAUGCUGACUGUUUUGAUUGUGUUAAAUUUGAUCGUCGUAACAUCAACCACUGCUAAUUGGCAUCAACUUGAUGGCAUCGAAUAUUACUUUGAGUAUACAGCAAUUAGUGAAAAUGGCGCAAUCGCGGGCUGUAUAAGAAUGAACGCCAUUUUAGCUGCUGUUAAAUCUCAACGAAUUCAGGACUUUCUUGUCAAAAAUAUAAAUACUACAAAUUUAUCAGCAAUAGGUAGACCAUAUUCAUUCUACAUUGGUUUGAGUCGUAUCAGUUCAACUACAUUGCAAUGGUCGGAUGGUACAACAACUGAUACAUCGGUCUUCACUUAUUGGGAUGAUCUUGAUGACGUCUACGACUCAAGGAAACUUUGUGUUGUCAUGGGAUACCACUCUGCAUUAAAUGUUUUAUUUAAAUGGAAGAUUGAAAAGUGCAGUAGUACACAUCGUUAUAUUUGCCAAAGUAAGCUCUAUAUUGAUUAACAUUCCUACAAGUAUUGUUCAUAUCUUUCUUUUCUCAUAUUGUAUUUUUACGCAUUCAUUAUCUCGUAUUUAUUCUUAUAUCUAAUUUCUUGUGUAUUACAGUAAUGCACUUCUUUUACAACUACAAGUGUUCCACAGAGACUGUUCACUGUGCACUAUAGGUGGAAUUUAUUUUUGAGGUUUUUCUUUUUCCAUCAGGGCCCAAUCUUUGGGUCAAUGCUCUUUAAA